Molecule: ribosomal RNA, 328 nt
Filed under: uncultured bacterium
Lineage: Bacteria
Description: bacterial SSU rRNA
Rfam family: Bacterial small subunit ribosomal RNA
Source: RNAcentral
CUAUACUAUUCAGAGUUUGAUCCUGGCUCAGGAUGAACGCUGACAGAAUGCUUAACACAUGCAAGUCGACUCGAGUCUUCGGACUUGGGUGGCGCACGGGUGAGUAACGCGUAAAGAACUUGCCUCUUAGACCGGGACAACAUUUGGAAACGGAUGCUAAUACCGGAUAUUAUGGUUUCUUCGCAUGGGGGAAUCAUGAAAGCUACAUGCGCUAAGAGAGAGCUUUGCGUCCCAUUAGCUCGUUGGUGAGGUAACGGCCCACCAAGGCGACGAUCCGUAGCUGGUCUGAGAGGAUGAUCAGCCACACUGGAACUGAGACACGGUCCAG